UACGUAGGGUGCGAGCGUUGUCCGGAGUUACUGGGCGUAAAGAGCUCGUAGGCGGUGUGUCGCGUCGGCCGUGAAAUCCUGCUGCUUAACGGUGGGCUUGCGGUCGAUACGGGCAGACUAGAGUUCGGUAGGGGAGACUGGAAUUCCUGGUGUAGCGGUGAAAUGCGCAGAUAUCAGGAGGAACACCGGUGGCGAAGGCGGGUCUCUGGGCCGACACUGACACUGAGAGACGAAAGCUAGGGGAGCGAAUGGG
Molecule: ribosomal RNA, 253 nt
Filed under: uncultured bacterium
Lineage: Bacteria
Description: partial 16S ribosomal RNA
Rfam family: Bacterial small subunit ribosomal RNA
Source: RNAcentral